CAGCCGCCGCGGGAAUACGUAGGUGGCAAGCGUUGUCCGGAAUUAUUGGGCGUAGAGGGCUCGCAGGCGGUUUCUUAAGUCUGAUGUGAAAGCCCCCGGCUCAACCGGGGAGGGUCAUUGGAAACUGGGAAACUUGAGUGCAGAAGAGGAGAGUGGAAUUCCACGUGUAGCGGUGAAAUGCGUAGAGAUGUGGAGGAACACCAGUGGCGAAGGCGACUCUCUGGUCUGUAACUGACGCUGAGGAGCGAAAGCGUGGGGAGCGAACAGGAUUAGAUACCCCCGUAGUCCCUGUCUCUUAUAC
Molecule: ribosomal RNA, 301 nt
Filed under: uncultured bacterium
Lineage: Bacteria
Description: partial 16S ribosomal RNA
Rfam family: Bacterial small subunit ribosomal RNA
Source: RNAcentral